This 889-nucleotide ribosomal RNA is filed under the name Geobacillus thermodenitrificans. RNAcentral's name for it is "bacterial SSU rRNA". It matches the Rfam family "Bacterial small subunit ribosomal RNA", at positions 1 to 867 of the family's 1533-position model. The record is from RNAcentral. Lineage: Bacteria; Bacillati; Bacillota; Bacilli; Caryophanales; Anoxybacillaceae.
UAGUGAUUAGAGUUUGAUCCUGGCUCAGGACGAACGCUGGCGGCGUGCCUAAUACAUGCAAGUCGAGCGGACCGGACGAGAGCUUGCUCUUGUUUGGUCAGCGGCGGACGGGUGAGUAACACGUGGGCAACCUGCCCGCAAGACCGGGAUAACUCCGGGAAACCGGAGCUAAUACCGGAUAACACCAAAGACCGCAUGGUCUUUGGUUGAAAGGCGGCUUCGGCUGCCACUUGCGGAUGGGCCCGCGGCGCAUUAGCUAGUUGGUGAGGUAACGGCUCACCAAGGCGACGAUGCGUAGCCGGCCUGAGAGGGUGACCGGCCACACUGGGACUGAGACACGGCCCAGACUCCUACGGGAGGCAGCAGUAGGGAAUCUUCCGCAAUGGACGAAAGUCUGACGGAGCGACGCCGCGUGAGCGAAGAAGGCCUUCGGGUCGUAAAGCUCUGUUGUGAGGGACGAAGGAGCGCCGUUUGAAUAAGGCGGCGCGGUGACGGUACCUCACGAGAAAGCCCCGGCUAACUACGUGCCAGCAGCCGCGGUAAUACGUAGGGGGCGAGCGUUAUCCGGAAUUAUUGGGCGUAAAGCGCGCGCAGGCGGUCCUUUAAAGUCUGAUGUGAAAGCCCACGGCUCAACCGUGGAGAGUCAUUGGAAACUGGGGGACUUGAGUGCAGGAGAGGAGAGCGGAAUUCCACGUGUAGCGGUGAAAUGCGUAGAGAUGUGGAGGAACGCCAGUGGCGAAGGCGGCUCUCUGGCCUGUAACUGACGCUGAGGCGCGAAAGCGUGGGGAGCAAACAGGAUUAGAUACCCUGGUAGUCCACGCCGUAAACGAUGAGUGCUAAGUGUUAGAGGGGUCACACCCUUUAGUGCUGUAGCUAACGCGAUAAGCAC